RNAcentral lists this ribosomal RNA (484 nucleotides) under uncultured bacterium. Its description in RNAcentral is "partial 16S ribosomal RNA". It matches the Rfam family "Bacterial small subunit ribosomal RNA", at positions 30 to 507 of the family's 1533-position model. The record is from RNAcentral.
AUUGAACGCUGGCGGCAGGCCUAACACAUGCAAGUCGAGCGGAUGAAGGGAGCUUGCUCCUGGAUUCAGCGGCGGACGGGUGAGUAAUGCCUAGGAAUCUGCCUGGUAGUGGGGGAUAACGUCCGGAAACGGGCGCUAAUACCGCAUACGUCCUGAGGGAGAAAGUGGGGGAUCUUCGGACCUCACGCUAUCAGAUGAGCCUAGGUCGGAUUAGCUAGUUGGUGGGGUAAAGGCCUACCAAGGCGACGAUCCGUAACUGGUCUGAGAGGAUGAUCAGUCACACUGGAACUGAGACACGGUCCAGACUCCUACGGGAGGCAGCAGUGGGGAAUAUUGGACAAUGGGAGAAGGCCUGAUCCAGCCAUGCCGCGUGUGUGAAGAAGGUCUUCGGAUUUUAAAGCACUUUAAGUUGGGAGGAAGGGCAGUAAGUUAAUACCUUGCUGUUUUGACGUUACCAACAGAAUAAGCACCGGCUAACUUCGUG